RNAcentral lists this ribosomal RNA (497 nucleotides) under uncultured bacterium. RNAcentral's name for it is "partial 16S ribosomal RNA". It matches the Rfam family "Bacterial small subunit ribosomal RNA", at positions 28 to 507 of the family's 1533-position model. The record is from RNAcentral.
GAUGAACGCUGGCGGCGUGCCUAAUACAUGCAAGUAGAACGCUGAAGGAAGGAGCUUGCUCUUUCCGGAUGAGUUGCGAACGGGUGAGUAACGCGUAGGUAACCUGCCUGGUAGCGGGGGAUAACUAUUGGAAACGAUAGCUAAUACCGCAUAACAGUAGAUGUUGCAUGAUAUCUACUUAAAAGGUGCAAUUGCACCACUACCAGAUGGACCUGCGUUGUAUUAGCUAGUUGGUGAGGUAACGGCUCACCAAGGCGACGAUACAUAGCCGACCUGAGAGGGUGCUCGGCCACACUGGGACUGAGACACGGCCCAGACUCCUACGGGAGGCAGCAGUAGGGAAUCUUCGGCAAUGGACGGAAGUCUGACCGAGCAACGCCGCGUGAGUGAAGAAGGUUUUCGGAUCGUAAAGCUCUGUUGUAAGAGAAGAACGAGUGUGAGAGUGGAAAGUUCACACUGUGACGGUAUCUUACCAGAAAGGGACGGCUAACUACGUG